Molecule: ribosomal RNA, 464 nt
Filed under: uncultured bacterium
Lineage: Bacteria
Description: partial 16S ribosomal RNA
Rfam family: Bacterial small subunit ribosomal RNA
Source: RNAcentral
ACGAACGCUGGCGGUGUGCCUAACACAUGCAAGUCGAACGGUAAGGCCCUUUCGGGGGUACACGAGUGGCGAACGGGUGAGUAACACGUGAGUAACCUGCCCUCAUCUCUGGGAUAACAGUCGGAAACGGUUGCUAAUACUGGAUAUGAGCCUGCAAGGCAUCUUGUGGGUUGGAAAGAUUUUUUGGUUGGGGAUGGACUCGCGGCCUAUCAGCUUGUUGGUGAGGUAGUGGCUCACCAAGGCUUCGACGGGUAGCCGGCCUGAGAGGGCGACCGGCCACAUUGGGACUGAGAUACGGCCCAAACUCCUACGGGAGGCAGCAGUGGGGAAUAUUGCACAAUGGACGGAAGUCUGAUGCAGCAACGCCGCGUGCGGGAUGACGGCCUUCGGGUUGUAAACCGCUUUCAAUUGUGACGAAGCUUUUUGUGACGGUAGCAGUAGAAGAAGCACCGGCUAACUACGUG